Long non-coding RNA from Micropterus dolomieu (smallmouth bass), 359 nucleotides. RefSeq lists it as uncharacterized. The record is from RefSeq and is a predicted model, not a curated record. The transcript has 3 exons. Lineage: Eukaryota; Metazoa; Chordata; Actinopteri; Centrarchiformes; Centrarchidae.
UUGUCUUUCUAUUACCUGUGGGUCAGAUGCCUGAUAAGGAGGACAAACGGUGGGAAACAAAAGAGUGACUCACUUAAUAUAUUUGUAAAAUGUUGGUCUUCAUUAACAUAAGUGAAUUCUGCAGCAACAGAACAGCCUGCAGGGAACAUCACUCUGGAAAGACACUCUGGUGUGCCAGUAUGGUUGCAAAUGGGGAAAUAACUGCCCAGUCAAAGGAGACUGAUGCAGCUCACUGAGAAACUAAAACUACACCAAGGAAACCACCCUUCAGGGGAGGGAGCACCCUGACAGGCAGGAGGACCCUCUCGGAGCGGGCUGCCUCACCUGUCUGAGGACUCAUCUCAUCCAGCAGCUUCACC